RNAcentral lists this transfer RNA (75 nucleotides) under Synechococcus sp. CC9311. Its description in RNAcentral is "tRNA-Arg(tct)". It matches the Rfam family "tRNA". Rfam says of the family: Transfer RNA (tRNA) molecules are approximately 80 nucleotides in length. Their secondary structure includes four short double-helical elements and three loops (D, anti-codon, and T loops). Further hydrogen bonds mediate the characteristic L-shaped molecular structure. tRNAs have two regions of fundamental functional importance: the anti-codon, which is responsible for specific mRNA codon recognition, and the 3' end, to which the tRNAs corresponding amino acid is attached (by aminoacyl-tRNA synthetases). tRNAs cope with the degeneracy of the genetic code in two manners: having more than one tRNA (with a specific anti-codon) for a particular amino acid; and 'wobble' base-pairing, i.e. permitting non-standard base-pairing at the 3rd anti-codon position. Lineage: Bacteria; Bacillati; Cyanobacteriota; Cyanophyceae; Synechococcales; Synechococcaceae. The record is from RNAcentral.
GCUCCCUUAGCUCAGCUGGAUAGAGCAACUGCCUUCUAAGCAGUCGGUCGUCGGUUCGAAUCCGCCAGGGGGCGC